CUAACGGCCAAGGAGUGACCCAACCCUGGGUUUGACACCAAGACACCCAGGGACAUAUGGGACACACAAAAGAUCUGAAGCACAGAACAGCUACACAGAUGCCAAAGGAAAAUGCGGGGCCCCUUGUCUGAAAAGUGUUCGGCAUUUCCAGAGGCAACAGCAGCACAUUAGACCAAGCUGAGGCCCCUCUGAGCACAAGCCCCUGUCAGCAGCCGGUCCUGAAGCCAGACCAUCCCCCAGGGAGGGCGGCCUUGGGGACACGCGGCAGCCUUGGGGACACGCAGCGCCCUGUCCACACUGGGAUUCCCGAGACUGAUGGUGGCCUGAGCUGGAGAAGACAUCCUGGGGACAGUGGGCGACGUCUGGAGACAGUUUUGGAUGCCACCCUGGGGUGUGCUUCUGACUUGUGUGGAGAGGCCAGGGGCGCUGCUAACCAUCAGACCCCAGGGUGCUCUCCAGCCCUGGGCUACGGUUCCCAUCUCAGCACUCCCAGGUUGGUGCUGGCUUCCACGAAGCAGGAGCCAGAACUUGAAGAAAUUGGGACUGAGGGUGGUGAGGGAAGAGCUCGGGGCUUAGGCUGUCUUUGCUGGGACUGCAGACCCCUGCAAGCUUAGGGAUCCGCGUUCUCCACCACGACAGGCGGGCCUAUGAGGGUACACACAUAACAACUCAGCCAACUACACGCUUCAGUUGUGUGCAUUUUGUUGCAUGUAAAUCAUACCUCUUUGAAGCUGAUUUUUUAAGAACUAGAAUUUCGUUCAGAGUCAGUCAUUUGGGGCCAUUUGGGGAACAUCACCCUCCCCAACCCCCAGGUCCCUUCCACGGCCCCAUACCUGGGUCUGCCUGAGCA
RNAcentral lists this long non-coding RNA (850 nucleotides) under Homo sapiens (human). RNAcentral describes it as "HSALNT0274010". The record is from RNAcentral. Lineage: Eukaryota; Metazoa; Chordata; Mammalia; Primates; Hominidae.